Molecule: ribosomal RNA, 253 nt
Filed under: uncultured bacterium
Lineage: Bacteria
Description: partial 16S ribosomal RNA
Rfam family: Bacterial small subunit ribosomal RNA
Source: RNAcentral
UACAGAGGGUGCGAGCGUUAAUCGGAAUUACUGGGCGUAAAGCGUGCGUAGGCGGCUAGCUAAGUGGGGUGUGAAAGCCCCGGGCUCAACCUGGGAAUUGCAUUCGAGACUGAAUAGCUAGGGUGCGGUAGAGGGAAGCGGAAUUUCCGGUGUAGCGGUGAAAUGCGUAGAUAUCGGAAGGAACAUCAGUGGCGAAAGCGGCUUCCUGGACCAGCACCGACGUUCAGGCACGAAAGCGUGGGGAGCAAACAGG